RNAcentral lists this transfer RNA (90 nucleotides) under Acinetobacter baumannii. RNAcentral describes it as "tRNA-Ser". It matches the Rfam family "tRNA". From Rfam's summary of the family: Transfer RNA (tRNA) molecules are approximately 80 nucleotides in length. Their secondary structure includes four short double-helical elements and three loops (D, anti-codon, and T loops). Lineage: Bacteria; Pseudomonadati; Pseudomonadota; Gammaproteobacteria; Moraxellales; Moraxellaceae. The record is from RNAcentral.
GGUGAGGUGUCCGAGUGGCUGAAGGAGCACGCCAGGAAAGUGUGUAUACGUUUACGCGUAUCGAGGGUUCGAAUCCCUCUCUCACCGCCA